GUAGGUGGCAAGCGUUGUCCGGAAUUAUUGGGCGUAAAGCGCGCGCAGGCGGGUCCUUUAAGUCUGAUGUGAAAGCCCACGGGCUCAACCGUGGAGGGUCAUUGGAAGCUGGGGGACUUGAGUACAGAAGAGGAAAGCGGAAUUCCAAGUGUAGCGGUGAAAUGCGUAGAGAUUUGGAGGAACACCAGUGGCGAAGGCGGCUUUCUGGUCUGUAACUGACGCUGAGGCGCGAAAGCGUGGGGGGCAAACAGGAUUAGAUACCCUGGUAGUCCACGCCGUAAACGAUGAGUGCUAAGUGUUAGGGGGUUUCCGCCCCUUAGUGCUGCAGCUAACGCAUUAAGCACUCCGCCUGGGGAGUACGGCCGCAAAGGCUG
RNAcentral lists this ribosomal RNA (374 nucleotides) under uncultured organism. Its description in RNAcentral is "partial 16S ribosomal RNA". It matches the Rfam family "Bacterial small subunit ribosomal RNA", at positions 527 to 896 of the family's 1533-position model. The record is from RNAcentral.